AGUGAACGCUGGCGGUAUGCCUAACACAUGCAAGUCGAACGGCAGCACAGUAAGAGCUUGCGCUUACUGGUGGCGAGUGGCGUACGACUGCGGAAUACAUCGGAACCUACUGUUUCGUGGGGCGUAACGUUGGGAAACUUCCGCUAAUACCUCAUGCUGACUGCGGGUGAAAGCAAGGCAUCUUCGGACUUUGCGCGAUUGUAGGAGCCGAUGUCGGAUUAGCUAGUUGGGGGGGUAAAGGCCCACCAAGGCGACGAUCCGUAGCUGGUCUGAGAGGAUGAUCAGCCACACUGGAACUGAGACACGGUCCAGACUCCUACGGGAGGCAGCAGUGGGGAAUAUUGGACAAUGGGCGAAAGCCUGAUCCAGCAAUACCGCGUGGGUGAAGAAGGCCUUCGGGUUGUAAAGCCCUUUUGUUGGGAAAGAAAAGCAGCAGGUUAAUACCCCGCUGUUCUGACGGUACCCAAAGAAUAAGCACCGGCUAACUUCGUG
Molecule: ribosomal RNA, 492 nt
Filed under: uncultured bacterium
Lineage: Bacteria
Description: partial 16S ribosomal RNA
Rfam family: Bacterial small subunit ribosomal RNA
Source: RNAcentral